Molecule: transfer RNA, 68 nt
Filed under: Hyosciurus heinrichi (montane long-nosed squirrel)
Lineage: Eukaryota; Metazoa; Chordata; Mammalia; Rodentia; Sciuridae
Description: tRNA-Lys
Rfam family: tRNA
About the family: Transfer RNA (tRNA) molecules are approximately 80 nucleotides in length.
Source: RNAcentral
CAUUAUGAAGCUNAGUCAGCAUUAACCUUUUAAGUUAAAGAUCAGGAAUUCAAACCUCCUCAUAAUGA